Molecule: ribosomal RNA, 866 nt
Filed under: Glomus sp. clA
Lineage: Eukaryota; Fungi; Glomeromycota; Glomeromycetes; Glomerales; Glomeraceae
Description: SSU rRNA
Rfam family: Eukaryotic small subunit ribosomal RNA
Source: RNAcentral
UAACGGGGAAUUAGGGUUCGAUUCCGGAGAGGGAGCCUGAGAAACGGCUACCACAUCCAAGGAAGGCAGCAGGCGCGCAAAUUACCCAAUCCCGAUACGGGGAGGUAGUGACAAUAAAUAACAAUACGGGGCUUUAUAGGGUCUUGUAAUUGGAAUGAGUACAAUUUAAAUUUCUUAACGAGGAACAAUUGGAGGGCAAGUCUGGUGCCAGCAGCCGCGGUAAUUCCAGCUCCAAUAGCGUAUAUUAAAGUUGUUGCAGUUAAAAAGCUUGUAGUUGAAUUUUAGGCUUGAUAGGACGGUCCUGCUCUAAGGGGUAUGAACUGGUGUAGUCAAUUUCUCACCUUCUGGAGAACCGCGAUGCCCUUAAUUGGGUGUCACAGGGAACCAGGACCUUUACUUUGAAAAAAUUAGAGUGUUUAAAGCAGGCAUUCGCUUGAAUACAUUAGCAUGGAAUAAUAGAAUAGGACUUUGGUUCUAUUUUGUUGGUUUCUAGGACCGAAGUAAUGAUUAAUAGGGAUAGUUGGGGGCAUUAGUAUUUAAUUGUCAGAGGUGAAAUUCUUGGAUUUAUUAAAGACUAACUUCUGCGAAAGCAUUUGCCAAGGAUGUUUUCAUUAAUCAAGAACGAAAGUUAGGGGAUCGAAGACGAUCAGAUACCGUCGUAGUCUUAACCAUAAACUAUGCCGACUAGGGAUCAGGCAAGGAUGUUUUUUUGACUUGUUUGGCACCUUAUGAGAAAUCAAAGUUUUUGGGUUCCGGGGGGAGUAUGGUCGCAAGGCUGAAACUUAAAGGAAUCGACGGAAGGGCACCACCAGGAGUGGAGCCUGCGGCUUAAUUUGACUCAACACGGGGAAACUCACCACGUCCAG